This 231-nucleotide ribosomal RNA is filed under the name uncultured bacterium. RNAcentral's name for it is "partial 16S ribosomal RNA". It matches the Rfam family "Bacterial small subunit ribosomal RNA", at positions 103 to 334 of the family's 1533-position model. The record is from RNAcentral.
CGGGUGAGUAACGCGUGGGUAACCUGCCUCAUACAGGGGGAUAACAGUUAGAAAUGGCUGCUAAUACCGCAUAAGACCACAGUACUGCAUGGUACAGUGGUAAAAACUCCGGUGGUAUGAGAUGGACCCGCGUCUGAUUAGGUAGCUGGUGAGGUAACGGCCCACCAAGCCGACGAUCAGUAGCCGACCUGAGAGGGUGACCGGCCACAUUGGGACUGAGACACGGCCCAG